GUCUACAGCCCUGCCACCUCAAAUGCACCCGAUCCCAUCUGAUUUCAGAAGCUAAGCAGGGUCGGGCCUGGUUAGUAAGUAGUUGGAUAGGAGGAAAUUGAGUCCCACUAGAGA
RNAcentral lists this ribosomal RNA (114 nucleotides) under Octodon degus (degu). Lineage: Eukaryota; Metazoa; Chordata; Mammalia; Rodentia; Octodontidae. The record is from RNAcentral.